Molecule: ribosomal RNA, 479 nt
Filed under: Siphula dissoluta
Lineage: Eukaryota; Fungi; Ascomycota; Lecanoromycetes; Pertusariales; Icmadophilaceae
Description: LSU rRNA
Rfam family: Eukaryotic large subunit ribosomal RNA
Source: RNAcentral
UUUGAAAUCUGACUUCGGUCUGAGUUGUAAUUUGUAGAGGGUAUUUGGAAAGCGACGUCGGCCUAAGUCCCUUGGAACAGGGCGUCAUAGAGGGUGAGAAUCCCGUAUGUGGCCAUGCGUCAAUUUCAUGUCAAAUCUCUUCGACGAGUCGAGUUGUUUGGGAAUGCAGCUCAAAAUGGGUGGUAAAUUUCAUCUAAAGCUAAAUACCGGCCAGAGACCGAUAGCGCACAAGUAGAGUGAUCGAAAGAUGAAAAGCACUUUGGAAAGAGAGUUAAACAGUACGUGAAAUUGUUGAAAGGGAAGCGCUUGCCAUUAGACCGAUCUUCAGGCAGCAGUUUAGAGGUAACUCUGGAUGUAAAGCACCUGUUCUUCGGCCAGCAUCGGUUUAGGUGGUUUGACAAAAACCAUAAGAACGUAGCUCCUCGGAGUGUUAUAGCUUAUGGUAUAAUGAAGCCUACCUGGACCGAGGACCGCGCUUC